UGUAGUUAGACUCGUAAAUAAACAAUAAGGGUUAAACCUGUUCCUCUGACGAGAAUAUUAACACCCUGGUAGACUGUAGUGUUCAGGUCACUGUCAACCAACACCCUGGUAGACUGUAGUGUUCAGGUCACUGCCAACCAACACCCUGGUAGACUGUAGUGUUCAGGUCACUGCCAACCAACACCCUGGUAGACUGUAGUGUUCAGGUCACUGUCUAACAACACCCUGGUAGACUGUAGUGUUCAGGUCACUGUCAACCAACACCCUGGUAGACUGUAGUGUUCAGGUCACUGCCAACCAACACCCUGGUAGACUGUAGUGUUCAGGUCACUGCCAACCAACACCCUGGUAGACUGUAGUGUUCAGGUCACUGUCAACCAACACCCUGGUAGACUGUAGUGUUCAGGUCACUGUCGACCAACACCCUGGUAGACUGUAGUGUUCAGGUCACUGUCUAACAACACCCUGGUAGACUGUAGUGUUCAGGUCACUGCCAACCAACACCCUGGUAGACUGUAGUGUUCAGGUCACUGUCAACCAACACCCUGGUAGACUGUAGUGUUCAGGUCACUGUCUACCAACACCCUGGUAGACUGUAGUGUUCAGGUCACUGCCAACCAACACCCUGGUAGACUGUAGUGUUCAGGUCACUGUCGACCAACACCCUGGUAGACUGUAGUGUUCAGGUCACUGUCUAACAACACCCUGGUAGACUGUAGUGUUCAGGUCACUGCCGACCAACACCCUGGUAGACUGUAGUGUUCAGGUCACUGCCAACCAACACCCUGGUAGACUGUAGUGUUCAGGUCACUGUCAACCAACACCCUGGUAGACUGUAGUGUUCAGGUCACUGUCAACCAACACCCUGGUAGACUGUAGUGUUCAGGUCACUGUCAACCAACACCCUGGUAGACUGUAGUGUUCAGGUCACUGCCAACCAACACCCUGGUAGACUGUAGUGUUCAGGUCACUGCCAACCAACACCCUGGUAGACUGUAGUGUUCAGGUCACUGCCAACCAACACCCUGGUAGACUGUAGUGUUCAGGUCACUGUCAACCAACACCCUGGUAGACUGUAGUGUUCAGGUCACUGUCUACCAACACCCUGGUAGACUGUAGUGUUCAGGUCACUGCCAACCAACACCCUGGUAGACUGUAGUGUUCAGGUCACUGUCUAACAACACCCUGGUAGACUGUAGUGUUCAGGUCACUGUCAACCAACACCCUGGUAGACUGUAGUGUUCAGGUCACUGCCAACCAACACCCUGGUAGACUGUAGUGUUCAGGUCACUGCCAACCAACACCCUGGUAGACUGUAGUGUUCAGGUCACUGUCUAACAACACCCUGGUAGACUGUAGUGUUCAGGUCACUGUCUAACAACACCCUGGUAGACUGUAGUGUUCAGGUCACUGCCAACCAACACCCUGGUAGACUGUAGUGUUCAGGUCACUGUCAACCAACACCCUGGUAGACUGUAGUGUUCAGGUCACUGCCAACCAACACCCUGGUAGACUGUAGUGUUCAGGUCACUGUCAACCAACACCCUGGUAGACUGUAGUGUUCAGGUCACUGUCAACCAACACCCUGGUAGACUGUAGUGUUCAGGUCACUGCCAACCAACACCCUGGUAGACUGUAGUGUUCAGGUCACUGCCAACCAACACCCUGGUAGACUGUAGUGUUCAGGUCACUGUCUAACAACACCCUGGUAGACUGUAGUGUUCAGGUCACUGUCAACCAACACCCUGGUAGACUGUAGUGUUCAGGUCACUGCCAACCAACACCCUGGUAGACUGUAGUGUUCAGGUCACUGCCAACCAACACCCUGGUAGACUGUAGUGUUCAGGUCACUGUCAACCAACACCCUGGUAGACUGUAGUGUUCAGGUCACUGUCUACCAACACCCUGGUAGACUGUAGUGUUCAGGUCACUGCCAACCAACACCCUGGUAGACUGUAGUGUUCAGGUCACUGUCGACCAACACCCUGGUAGACUGUAGUGUUCAGGUCACUGUCUAACAACACCCUGGUAGACUGUAGUGUUCAGGUCACUGCCGACCAACACCCUGGUAGACUGUAGUGUUCAGGUCACUGCCAACCAACACCCUGGUAGACUGUAGUGUUCAGGUCACUGUCAACCAACACCCUGGUAGACUGUAGUGUUCAGGUCACUGUCAACCAACACCCUGGUAGACUGUAGUGUUCAGGUCACUGUCAACCAACACCCUGGUAGACUGUAGUGUUCAGGUCACUGCCAACCAACACCCUGGUAGACUGUAGUGUUCAGGUCACUGCCAACCAACACCCUGGUAGACUGUAGUGUUCAGGUCACUGCCAACCAACACCCUGGUAGACUGUAGUGUUCAGGUCACUGUCAACCAACACCCUGGUAGACUGUAGUGUUCAGGUCACUGUCUACCAACACCCUGGUAGACUGUAGUGUUCAGGUCACUGUCAACCAACACCCUGGUAGACUGUAGUGUUCAGGUCACUGUCUAACAACACCCUGGUAGACUGUAGUGUUCAGGUCACUGUCUAACAACACCCUGGUAGACUGUAGUGUUCAGGUCACUGCCAACCAACACCCUGGUAGACUGUAGUGUUCAGGUCACUGCCAACCAACACCCUGGUAGACUGUAGUGUUCUUUAAUGAGUAACUGCAGAUGACUUGUAUUUACUACUUUAAAUACCACAUAUUAAUUAUUUUACACACACUAACUAUUAUCUAUUUGAUUGUUUCAUACUGAAACCUGUUGAAACUGGCCAUUUCAUGUCAUUUUUCUGUUCUUUUUUUUCUCUGGUUUUUUUUGUCCAAACAGAUUGAAGAUAGUUGAUAUAGAACCCUUUGUAGCCUGUCUUUACCCCCCUGUGUUCUGUCUCUACCCCCCUGUAGCCUGUCUUUACCCCCCUGUAGUCUGUCUCUACCCCCCUGUAGACUGUCUUUACCCCCCUGUAGUCUGUCUUUACCCCCCUGUGUUCUGUCUCUACCCCCCUGUAGCCUGUCUCUACCCCCCUGUAGCCUGUCUUUACCCCCCUGUAGCCUGUCUUUACCCCUCUGUGUUCUGUCUUUACCCCCCUGUAGUCUGUCUUUACCCCUCUGUGUUCUGUCUCUACCCCCCUGUAGCCUGUCUCUACCCCCCUGUAGCCUGUCUCUACCCCCCUGUAGCCUGUCUUUACCCCCCUGUAGACUGUCUUUACCCCCCUGUAGCCUGUCUUUACCCCCCUGUAGCCUGUCUUUACCCCCCUGUAGUCUGUCUUUACCCCCCUGUAGUCUGUCUUUACCCCCCUGUAGUCUGUCUUUACCCCCCUGUAGUCUGUCUCUACCCCCCUGUAGACUGUCUUUACCCCCCUGUAGUCUGUCUCUACCCCCCUGUAGCCUGUCUCUACCCCCCUGUAGCCUGUCUCUACCCCCCUGUAGCCUGUCUUUACCCCCCUGUAGCCUGUCUUUACCCCUCUGUGUUCUGUCUUUACCCCCCUGUAGUCUGUCUUUACCCCUCUGUGUUCUGUCUCUACCCCCCUGUAGCCUGUCUCUACCCCCCUGUAGCCUGUCUCUACCCCCCUGUAGCCUGUCUUUACCCCCCUGUAGACUGUCU
Salvelinus fontinalis (brook trout) is the source of this 3592-nucleotide long non-coding RNA. RefSeq lists it as uncharacterized. The record is from RefSeq and is a predicted model, not a curated record. The transcript has 3 exons. NCBI's taxonomy places the organism in Eukaryota, Metazoa, Chordata, Actinopteri, Salmoniformes, Salmonidae.